UAUCCGGAUUUAUUGGGUUUAAAGGGAGCGUAGGCCGGAGAUUAAGCGUGUUGUGAAAUGUAGAUGCUCAACAUCUGAACUGCAGCGCGAACUGGUUUCCUUGAGUACGCACAAAGUGGGCGGAAUUCGUGGUGUAGCGGUGAAAUGCUUAGAUAUCACGAAGAACUCCGAUUGCGAAGGCAGCUCACUGGAGCGCAACUGACGCUGAAGCUCGAAAGUGCGGGUAUCGAACAGGAUUAGAUACCCUGGUAGUCCGCACGGUAAACGAUGGAUGCCCGCUGUUGGUCUGAAUAGGUCAGCGGCCAAGCGAAAGCAUUAAGCAUCCCACCUGGGGAGUACGCCGGCAACGGUGAAACUCAAAGGAAUUGACGGGGGCCCGCACAAGCGGAGGAACAUGUGGUUUAAUUCGAUGAUACGCGAGGAACCUUACCCGGGCUUGAAUUGCAGAGGAAGGAUUUGGAGACAAUGACGCCCUUCGGGGCCUCUGUGAAGGUGCUGCAUGGUUGUCGUCAGCUCGUGCCGUGAGGUGUCGGCUUAAGUGCCAUAACGAGCGCAACCCCUCUCCUUAGUUGCCAUCAGGUCAUGCUGGGCACUCUGGGGACACUGCCACCGUAAGGUGUGAGGAAGGUGGGGAUGACGUCAAAUCAGCACGGCCCUUACGUCCGGGGCUACACACGUGUUACAAUGGCAGGUACAGAGAGACGGUCCCUUGCAAAAUGGAUCAAAUCCUUAAAGCCUGUCUCAGUUCGGACUGGGGUCUGCAACCCGACCCCACGAAGCUGGAUUCGCUAGUAAUCGCGCAUCAGCCAUGGCGCGGUGAAUACGUUCCCGGGCCUUGUACACACCGC
This 848-nucleotide ribosomal RNA is filed under the name human gut metagenome. Its description in RNAcentral is "bacterial SSU rRNA". It matches the Rfam family "Bacterial small subunit ribosomal RNA", at positions 542 to 1393 of the family's 1533-position model. The record is from RNAcentral.